GAUGAACGCUGGCGGCGUGCCUAAUACAUGCAAGUAGAACGCUGAGGUAGGAGCUUGCUCUUCUGGAUGAGUUGCGAACGGGUGAGUAACGCGUAGGUAACCUGCCUGGUAGCGGGGGAUAACUCUUGGAAACGCUGGCUAAUACCGCAUGACAACAGUUAUUGCAUGAUGACUGUUUAAAAGGGGCAACUGUUCCACUACCAGAUGGACCUGCGUUGUAUUAGCUGGUUGGUGAGGUAACGGCUCCACAAGGCGGCGACAUAUAGCCGACCUGAGAGGGGGGUCGGCCACACUGGGACUGAGACACGGCACAGGCUCCCUAGGGAAGGAGCCAUAGGGAAACUUCGGGCAUGGACGGAAGUCUGACCGAGCAACGCCGCGUGAGGGAAGAAGGUUUUCGGAUCGGAAAGCUCUGUUGUAAGGGAAGAAAGAGUGUGAGAGUGGAAAGUUCACACUGUGACGGUAUCUUACCAGAAAGCGACGGCUAACUACGUG
RNAcentral lists this ribosomal RNA (495 nucleotides) under uncultured bacterium. RNAcentral describes it as "partial 16S ribosomal RNA". It matches the Rfam family "Bacterial small subunit ribosomal RNA", at positions 28 to 507 of the family's 1533-position model. The record is from RNAcentral.